CUUGAUAACUAUAAGAGGUCCAGCCUGCCCAGUGAUAAAUUCAACGGCCGCGGUAUCCUAACCGUGCGAAGGUAGCAUAAUCACUUGUUCUUUAAAUAGGGACUCGUAUCAACGGCAUCACGAGGGUUACACUGUCUCCUCUUUCCAAUCAGUGAAACUGAUCUUCCCGUGAAGAAGCGGGAAUGAACUAAUAAGACGAGAAGACCCCAUGGAGCUUUAAACCUCACAGCAACUCUAACAUAUAUUCCCCUAUAACCCGCAGAGCAAUGCUAGUCGGUUUUAGGUUGGGGUGACCGCGGAGCAAAAACUACCCUCCACGACGAACAGAACUAAAUCUUUAUCCAAGAGCAACUACUCUAAGAACUAGCACACUAACAUAUCAUGACCCGAUAAUCGAUCAACGGACCA
This 408-nucleotide ribosomal RNA is filed under the name Rhacophorus kio. RNAcentral describes it as "partial 16S ribosomal RNA". It matches the Rfam family "Bacterial large subunit ribosomal RNA", at positions 1835 to 2459 of the family's 2925-position model. Lineage: Eukaryota; Metazoa; Chordata; Amphibia; Anura; Rhacophoridae. The record is from RNAcentral.